GGCGGCCGCUGGGGGCGCGCGGAGUCGCCUCUCCCUGCCCACGGCCCCGGAGCGCCGUCUCCUGAGCUCGGUCGCUGGAGCGUAGUAUGGGAAAUUCCAACAUCAAGGAAUUUGGGAUUUUUCCUGGAAUCUCAGCUCAAGUGCUGUGAGGGAGCAAAAUCUCACCAUAGCCUGUCUCCAAACCAGACAGACUGAUGCAACCCCUGUGCAGCUCCACAGGGCUGUAGUUCCUUUCAGCACGCUCUCAGCUGUGCUGUGCAGGACACAGCUGCGCUCAGCUGAUCAAGCAGCUCUGCAGCUCUUCAGGAGCUGAUGAUUGGUGGAGGCGGAUCUCAUGAAUCUGACAUUUUUAUUGCUUGAUACUGAUGCAAAAUGAUGUGUUCAUUGUAUAACAUCAUGACAGCUAAAAUAUUUACUCAAUAAAUUGGAGGUCUUGCAUUAAA
Tympanuchus pallidicinctus (lesser prairie-chicken) is the source of this 443-nucleotide long non-coding RNA. RefSeq lists it as uncharacterized. Lineage: Eukaryota; Metazoa; Chordata; Aves; Galliformes; Phasianidae. The record is from RefSeq and is a predicted model, not a curated record. The transcript is spliced from 2 exons.